UUGACUGCACUGAAAAAUUUCCAGCAGUAGGAUCCCCAGCUUGCCCUUUUGCUGUGAGUCAGUGACCAAAGUCCACAAGCCUUUUCCCUGAGAUCUCCCCCUCCCUGCUGCCAGGCGGGUUUGGCUGGUUCCCAGAUACCCUGAGAAGGCGGGAGGAGGCAGCUUACAAAGUGGGGAUUCGCUGGACCCUCCUUCUCACCCCGUUCUGUGAUAUCUGUUCCCAAAACGAGCUGGAGGCGACAAAGGAACUGAAACCGAUUUGCCCACGGAUUUGUAUGGCAACAAAAUGUCUGUUGGGCACUUGAACACGGACAAGGAUAAACAGAUGUCUGAUAAGCCAUCUUGGAAAGACUAUGCUUUUGAUGACAUAUGGAGGCUCUAUCAUCUUACGGCUACCACCAUGUUGACUGUUCUGGAUUGUGUUCAAUAUACUGUUCUUUGUUCUGGUCCGUAAAGAGAGAUCUCAUGCUUGGUGGAAAGCUCAGCUCAAGAAGCUUUGAAAUGCAGAUUAGAUUAAUUACACUAGAAUUAUAUUUGAAAAUGGAAAAGAAGCAUUUUCUUUUCUUUUCUUCUUAAGGAUUUUAUUUAUCCACUUGAGAGAGAGACAGCACAGAGGGAGAGUGAGAGGGAAAAGCAGACUCUCUGCUCAACCUCGUGUGGGCUGAUCCCAGAGCCUUGGGAUCACAACCUGAGCCCAAGGCAAAUGCUUAACUGACUGAGCCACCCAGGCGCCCGAAAAGAAGCAUUUUCUAAAAGGCAAAUUCCAAAUAUAUGCCUUUUCAAAGAAAGUGUCAUUUGGAAAGAAACUGAAUCACACCAUGAAAUCUGUGACAUUUCUUUUGGUUUCCACUCUCUUCUAUACUAGUGGUAGGCUCAUGUGAUAUGUAGAAAUUUGGUUAACCAAAUUUAGCUUGACUUCUCAAGUUAAGAAAAUGUAUAUGCAGUAUUUCUGAGAUAAGAAGAGGCACAUUCUUUUUUUAGCACCUAUACUUCCUAUGCUGCUGUUUUUGCCUUAUUCCCUUAUUUGAAAAUUUGGCUUUGUUUAUAAAAUCUACAAAUUUCUAUCUGUUUAGAACAGGGCUAGAAUAGCCUGGGAUCCUGUGGAACUGAAUGGUAUUUUAGACUGCUGAUUCUCAUUUUCUCUUCAAUAAAGAUCGCAACACAUUACUUAUAUGUAUUUUAUAGCUCACACCCUGGGGAUUACCCACCUGGGAAAGGGACCUGGAUUCUGGUGCAAGCCUUCUGUUUGCUGAGCUAUGUGUUGUUGAGCAAGUCAGAGGUAAUCAGAGGUAAAAUGAGGGAUUGUUGUCUAAAACUCCAUGAUUCUGUUGUUUAAGUAUAAUCAACUCGAGAGUUUGAUGAUUUCUUUGAAAAUUAAAAAAAAAUUCUAGUAACCUUAAAUGCAUACUGCUGAGCCCUAAAUUUAGUUUUGAAAUAAUGUAAGACAGGGAGAAAGGUUUGGGAGGUCCCUUCCUUUAUAUACAUUUUAUAAAGGGAUAUGUUUGUCUAAGGUAUCACCUGCCAAGAGUUAGGGAUCUAUAGAUGCUACCAGAAUUUGAGAUGUAGAGAUAAGGAUAAUGAUUUUUUUUUUUUAAUUUGGAAAAAAAUGUAAAACAGAAACGAGUAUCUAAUUUUAUUGCCAAUAAUUUGUAGGACUGAAAGUGAUUACACUGUCAUACCCUUCUACAUUGAAUAAACACUGUGCAAAAGGA
Long non-coding RNA from Mustela lutreola (European mink), 1712 nucleotides. RefSeq lists it as uncharacterized. The record is from RefSeq and is a predicted model, not a curated record. The transcript has 2 exons. Lineage: Eukaryota; Metazoa; Chordata; Mammalia; Carnivora; Mustelidae.